RNAcentral lists this ribosomal RNA (170 nucleotides) under Oscillospiraceae bacterium. Its description in RNAcentral is "partial 23S ribosomal RNA". It matches the Rfam family "Bacterial large subunit ribosomal RNA", at positions 2757 to 2925 of the family's 2925-position model. The record is from RNAcentral. Lineage: Bacteria; Bacillati; Bacillota; Clostridia; Eubacteriales; Oscillospiraceae.
GGAACGGAUAAACGCUGAAAGCAUCUAAGCGUGAAGCCGACCUCAAGAUAAGAUAUCCCAUCAUUUCAAAUGAGUAAGACCCCUCAAAGACUAUGAGGUAGAUAGGUGCAAGGUGUAAGCAUGGUGACAUGUUCAGCCAGCGCAUACUAAUCGGUCGAGGGCUUUUCCUU